This 75-nucleotide transfer RNA is filed under the name Zetaproteobacteria bacterium CG1_02_49_23. Its description in RNAcentral is "tRNA-His". It matches the Rfam family "tRNA". Rfam says of the family: Transfer RNA (tRNA) molecules are approximately 80 nucleotides in length. Their secondary structure includes four short double-helical elements and three loops (D, anti-codon, and T loops). Further hydrogen bonds mediate the characteristic L-shaped molecular structure. tRNAs have two regions of fundamental functional importance: the anti-codon, which is responsible for specific mRNA codon recognition, and the 3' end, to which the tRNAs corresponding amino acid is attached (by aminoacyl-tRNA synthetases). tRNAs cope with the degeneracy of the genetic code in two manners: having more than one tRNA (with a specific anti-codon) for a particular amino acid; and 'wobble' base-pairing, i.e. permitting non-standard base-pairing at the 3rd anti-codon position. Lineage: Bacteria; Pseudomonadati; Pseudomonadota; Candidatius Mariprofundia. RNAcentral also lists the same sequence under 3 other names. The record is from RNAcentral.
GUGGUCGUAGUUCAAUGGUAGAGCCCCGGCUUGUGAUGCCGGUUGUUGGGGGUUCGAAUCCCCUCGACCACCCCA